UACGACUACAUAUCAGGCAUAUCAAUAAGCGGAGGAAAAGAAACUAACAAGGAUUCCCCUUAGUAACGGCGAGUGAAGCGGGAAGAGCUCAAAUUUGAAAUCUUCAAGGGUUUACCUUUACGAAUUGUAGUUUAAAGAAGUGUUUUCUGUUGGAGUUUCGGUAAAAGUUCUUUGGAAUAGGACAUCAUAGAGGGUGAGAAUCCCGUAUUUGACCAGUUACUUUCAGCUGUGUGAUACACUUUCAAAGAGUCGGAUUGUUUGGGAAUGCAGUCCGAGAUGGGUGGUAAAUUUCAUCUAAAGCUAAAUAUUGGCGAGAGACCGAUAGCGAACAAGUACCGUGAGGGAAAGAUGAAAAGAACUUUGAAAAGAGAGUUAAACAGUACGUGAAAUUGUCAAAAGGGAAGCGUUUGACACCAGUGUUGUUUUCUCGAAAAUCAAUUAAAAAAAGUUGGAUUUUGUGUUGUAUUGACCUUAACAGCUUGCUUCACUCUUUCCAGCUUUUUUUAAUGCACUUUUCGUUUAACAAGUCAACAUCAGUUUCUUUUGUUGUAGAAGGGUCAUUGGAAGGUGGCUUUCUCUUCGGAGAAAGUGUUUAUAGCCUUUGAUCUCUGCAAUCGGAGAGACUGAGGUCUGCAGCGUAGAUCCUUCGGGGUUAGAUACAUUUGUGCUAAGCUACAGCUUUUCAUAGACAACUUGUUGACUAUGUUUAGUCUUGUAACUUACCCGCUUAUGCUAUUUUACCUACGCUUAGGAUGUUGAGCGCAUGUCUCUCUCU
RNAcentral lists this ribosomal RNA (775 nucleotides) under uncultured Neocallimastigales. RNAcentral describes it as "partial large subunit ribosomal RNA". It matches the Rfam family "Eukaryotic large subunit ribosomal RNA", at positions 24 to 616 of the family's 3401-position model. The record is from RNAcentral. Lineage: Eukaryota; Fungi; Neocallimastigomycota; Neocallimastigomycetes; Neocallimastigales.